AUAUUGAGAAUAGUUGCACCAAAAUAAUAAACUAAAUGAAAAUAAAUAAACACAAUAACAUCAGGAUAUUGGUAGCCAAACUGCAUCAUCAAAACAAGAUAAUACAAUGACAUGAAAGUAAGAACUAAUCUACAAUCCACAAGACAAUAACUCGGAGGUUAAAAGCAUGACAAGAAUCUUUUCCUUUAUGCAUUAUAAGUUUGUCUGGAAGUGUCAACAAAAAUUGAGCUACAAUGACAUGAGCCCAAAUAAAGCGUUGUUGAACAUAACAUACAAAGACAUAAAGCCAUAUAAACCAAAUAGUACUAAAUGAUGAGGGUGAAGCCUAGCACGACACCGAACAUGGAUACAAAGGGCAAAUUUACAUUCAACAGUUACAACAAAUCCAUUAGUAUUCCAGGCCAGCAGAGAAAUUCUAAUCUAUGAAUAGCUUGAAUUAAAAUUUCAAGCUUUUCUUAGUAAUGUUUCACAAGAAGUAAGCAGACCGAUGUAAGCAGAAAUAGUAAAAUUUUCCAUAUAAUCAUGACACAACAUUAAGUCUACA
Molecule: unclassified non-coding RNA, 544 nt
Filed under: Hevea brasiliensis (rubber tree)
Lineage: Eukaryota; Viridiplantae; Streptophyta; Magnoliopsida; Malpighiales; Euphorbiaceae
Source: RNAcentral